GUCGGAGGAGGCAAGCGUUAUCCGGAAUUAUUGGGCGUAAAGCGUCCGCAGGUGGCGAUUCAAGUCUGCUGUCAAAGGUCGGGGCUUAACCCCGGGAAGGCAGUGGAAACUGAAUAGCUAGAGUGCGGUAGGGGCAGAGGGAAUUCCCGGUGUAGCGGUGAAAUGCGUAGAGAUCGGGAAGAACACCAGAGGCGAAAGCGCUCUGCUGGGCCUGCACUGACACUGAGGGACGACAGCUAGGGGAGCGAAAGGG
This 253-nucleotide ribosomal RNA is filed under the name uncultured bacterium. Its description in RNAcentral is "partial 16S ribosomal RNA". It matches the Rfam family "Bacterial small subunit ribosomal RNA", at positions 524 to 776 of the family's 1533-position model. The record is from RNAcentral.